GCCAGAAUAGUGUAGUAGGAACACGGCUACCUUGUAAGUAGCAAUCCUUGGUGCGAUCCCAGGUUCUGGUA
Pseudohyphozyma bogoriensis is the source of this 71-nucleotide non-coding RNA. The record is from the annotation of a GenBank genome assembly. NCBI's taxonomy places the organism in Eukaryota, Fungi, Basidiomycota, Microbotryomycetes, Chrysozymaceae.